AUUAAUUCGAUGCAACGCGAAGAACCUUACCUGGGCUUGACAUACACCAGAUCGGCGCAGAGAUGCGUUUCCCUUGUGGUUGGUGUACAGGUGGUGCAUGGUUGUCGUCAGCUCGUGUCGUGAGAUGUUGGGUUAAGUCCCGCAACGAGCGCAACCCUUGUCUUAUGUUGCCAGCACGUGAUGGUGGGGACUCAUGAGAGACUGCCGGGGUUAACUCGGAGGAAGGUGGGGAUGACGUCAAAUCAUCAUGCCCCUUAUGUCCAGGGCUUCACACAUGCUACAAUGGUCGGUACAACGCGUGUGCGACACUGUGAGGUGAAGCUAAUCGCUCUAAAGCCGGUCGUAGUUCGGAUUGGGGUCUGCAACUCGACCCCAUGAAGUCGGAGUCGCUAGUAAUCGCAGAUCAGCAACGCUGCGGUGAAUACGUUCCCGGGCCUU
RNAcentral lists this ribosomal RNA (438 nucleotides) under uncultured Corynebacterium sp. Its description in RNAcentral is "bacterial SSU rRNA". It matches the Rfam family "Bacterial small subunit ribosomal RNA", at positions 945 to 1382 of the family's 1533-position model. Lineage: Bacteria; Bacillati; Actinomycetota; Actinomycetes; Mycobacteriales; Corynebacteriaceae. The record is from RNAcentral.